GCUCAGUAACACGUGGAUAACCUACCCUUAGGACUGGGAUAACCUUGGGAAACUGAGGAUAAUACUGGAUAGGCAAUUAUUCCUGUAAUGGUUUUUUGUUUAAAUGUUUUUUCGCCUAAGGAUGAGUCUGCGGCCGAUUAGGUAGUUGGUUAGGUAAUGGCUUACCAAGCCGUUGAUCGGUACGGGUUGUGAGAGCAAGAGCCCGGAGAUGGAACCUGAGACAAGGUUCCAGGCCCUACGGGGUGCGGCAGGCGCGAAACCUCCGCAAUGUGAGAAAUCGCGACGGGGGGAUCCCAAGUGCCAUUCUUAACGGGAUGGCUUUUCAUUAGUGUAAAGAGCUUUUGGAAUAAGAGCUGGGCAAGACCGGUGCCAGCCGCCGCGGUAACACCGGCAGCUCUAGUGGUAACAAUUUUUAUUUGGCCUAAAGCGUCCGUAGCCGGUUUAAUAAGUCUCUGGUGAAAUCCUGUAGCUUAACUGUGGGAAUUGCUGGAGAUACUAUUAGACUUGAGACCGGGAGAGGUUAGAGGUACUCCCAGGGUAGAGGUGAAAUUCUGUAAUCCUGGGAGGACCGCCUGUUGCGAAGGCGUCUAACUGGAACGGUUCUGACGGUGAGGGACGAAAGUUAGGGGCGCGAACCGGAUUAGAUACCCGGGUAGUCCUAACUGUAAACGAUGCGGACUUGGUGUUGGGGUGGCUUUGAGCUGCUCCAGUGCCGAAGGGAAGCUGUUAAGUCCGCCGCCUGGGAAGUACGGUCGCAAGACUGAAACUUAAAGGAAUUGGCGGGGGAGCAC
This 791-nucleotide ribosomal RNA is filed under the name uncultured archaeon. RNAcentral's name for it is "bacterial SSU rRNA". It matches the Rfam family "Archaeal small subunit ribosomal RNA", at positions 88 to 879 of the family's 1478-position model. The record is from RNAcentral.